This 305-nucleotide ribosomal RNA is filed under the name uncultured bacterium. Its description in RNAcentral is "bacterial SSU rRNA". It matches the Rfam family "Bacterial small subunit ribosomal RNA", at positions 337 to 640 of the family's 1533-position model. The record is from RNAcentral.
UCCUACGGGACGCAGCAGUGAGGAAUAUUGGUCAAUGGUCGGGAGACUGAACCAGCCAAGCCGCGUGAGGGAUGAAGGUACAGAGUAUCGUAAACCUCUUUUGUCAGGGAACAAAGGCGGGGACGCGUCCCCGGAUGAGUGUACCUGAAGAAAAAGCAUCGGCUAACUCCGUGCCAGCAGCCGCGGUAAUACGGAGGAUGCGAGCGUUAUCCGGAUUUAUUGGGUUUAAAGGGUGCGCAGGCGGUCUGUUAAGUCAGCGGUCAAAGCCCGGGGCUCAACACCGGCCCGCCGUUGAAACUGGCAGU